CUAACAAUUAAAUCAAUAAUUUCCAAGAGCUUUGAGCACAAUGUGUGGUCAUUUCACAUUACAUUUUCAUCAGGUAAAUCUUGUAAAUGCCUGUUUUCCCUCAGGUCCUUGCUUUUGGAGACAGUGCCUGGCUUGAUUAAGUUGAAUAAUGAGCAGACUGCUGCUGCUGCAGUGCCCCAUAAAUGUCCAGAACAGCAGUGGCGUUUCCAGGCCCUCUGUCAAGCACAACAAGAGUGACAAGAUUCACUUCUCCAGCAGCAAAAGAUGGAGAUCAGUUCUGCACCCUCACAAGAUGACGCCCAGCUUCUUGCAAUUGGCCACCAAGCAGACCUGCUCAGAAUGGCAGUGGACCAGUGUUAUGCCCAUGAAUAUAUCAAAAGCUGUUUUACAGAGGAUUCUACACUGGCAGCAGCUGCUAACAGUAGUUCAUAGCGGCAGCUGUGGCGAUCCAGCGAUGUUGGCGGAGGAGAUGCGUAUUGCAGAGACGUGA
RNAcentral lists this long non-coding RNA (490 nucleotides) under Carassius auratus (goldfish). Its description in RNAcentral is "lncRNA (ENSCARG00000050773.1)". The record is from RNAcentral. Lineage: Eukaryota; Metazoa; Chordata; Actinopteri; Cypriniformes; Cyprinidae.